This 559-nucleotide ribosomal RNA is filed under the name Pseudomonas aeruginosa. Its description in RNAcentral is "bacterial SSU rRNA". It matches the Rfam family "Bacterial small subunit ribosomal RNA", at positions 31 to 610 of the family's 1533-position model. The record is from RNAcentral. Lineage: Bacteria; Pseudomonadati; Pseudomonadota; Gammaproteobacteria; Pseudomonadales; Pseudomonadaceae.
CUGUUCUGUCGGCAGCUAGACAUGCAAGUCGAGCGGAUGAAGGGAGCUUGCUCCUGGAUUCAGCGGCGGACGGGUGAGUAAUGCCUAGGAAUCUGCCUGGUAGUGGGGGAUAACGUCCGGAAACGGGCGCUAAUACCGCAUACGUCCUGAGGGAGAAAGUGGGGGAUCUUCGGACCUCACGCUAUCAGAUGAGCCUAGGUCGGAUUAGCUAGUUGGUGGGGUAAAGGCCUACCAAGGCGACGAUCCGUAACUGGUCUGAGAGGAUGAUCAGUCACACUGGAACUGAGACACGGUCCAGACUCCUACGGGAGGCAGCAGUGGGGAAUAUUGGACAAUGGGCGAAGCCUUGAUCCAGCCAUGCCGCGUGUGUGAAGAAGUCUUCGGAUUGUAAACACUUUAAGUUGGGAGAAGGCAGAAGUUAAUACCUUGGUUGUUUUGACGUACCACAGAAUAAGCACCGGCUACUUCUGCCGCAGCCGCGUAUACCAAGGUGCAGCGUAAUUCGAAUUACUGGCGUAAGCGCGCGAAGGGUUCACAGGUGGAAGGGAAUCCCCGGCUC